Myodes glareolus (Bank vole) is the source of this 561-nucleotide long non-coding RNA. RefSeq lists it as uncharacterized. The record is from RefSeq and is a predicted model, not a curated record. NCBI's taxonomy places the organism in Eukaryota, Metazoa, Chordata, Mammalia, Rodentia, Cricetidae.
UUGAAUCCCUUAAGGAUCCCUCCCCAGCCAUGCUCUGACACUGGGGAAGCUAUUCACUGACAGACAGCACAGCACUGCAAAGAAGCAGUGCCCAAAGGAAACAAAAUGAACUUACCGAUGCACAUACAUCGUGAAUGGGAGGAAGGGAGCUUUCCGAUGUCAGCCACUGAACAGGACGUUCCAAUCAACUCUAUGACAUCCCUACAGCUUCCAGGUGGCUUGAUCACAGGUUCGUAGCAUCAGGCCGAGCCUCCCCUUGCAUCUUCCAGCACUUAUGGACCAGGGACCCCUUGGCUUGUGAUAGAUGAAAUCUCAAGACAGAAUCAUAUUUGACCUGGUAUGACAAGAUGCUGUACCUGUUUAAGAGAUCAUCCUUACUGGAGAGAAAUAUCCUGUGUUACACUGUGACAACAGAAAGACUGUCCUUGCGGCAAAAUCCUGUCUUUGGAGGCUCGAUCUUGUGAAGAGUCAGAUUCAUUUAAAGAAAAAAUGCCUAUAUGUUAUAUGUAUUUUUAAGUAAGUUUAUAAAAUAAAUUUUCCUUUGGGUGUUUGUAAAUCCUA